This 499-nucleotide RNase P RNA is filed under the name Treponema sp. Its description in RNAcentral is "RNase P RNA component class A". It matches the Rfam family "Bacterial RNase P class A". From Rfam's summary of the family: Ribonuclease P (RNase P) is a ubiquitous endoribonuclease, found in archaea, bacteria and eukarya as well as chloroplasts and mitochondria. Lineage: Bacteria; Pseudomonadati; Spirochaetota; Spirochaetia; Treponematales; Treponemataceae. The record is from RNAcentral.
GCGAUGAACCAGGCUGCCGCGGGGGGCCGCAGGAAAGCCCGUUUUCCGGGCAUGCGGCCUUCCCGAGGAAAGUCCGGGCUCCGCAGGGCAUGAUGCCGGGUAAUUCCCGGGCGGAGAGUAUGAAUCUUCCGGCCCAGAGCCGGCGGAUAUUCAUUGGCUUUCCGACAGACAGCGCAACAGAAAGGAUACCGCCUCCCGGGGCCGGAGGGUUUCGGCUUUUUGCGUCUCAGGGGGUAAGGGUGAAAUGGCGGGGUAAGCGCCCGCCUCGGCGGCGGCAACGCCGCCGGAAAGAUUCCGGUUAAACGGAAAACGGCAAGCCUCAUCAGGAGCAAAAUCAAGCGGCGCGAAAGGGGGUCCCCUUGCCGGCGGCCCGCCGGUUAAGCGCGGGUAGAUUGCGGGGUUAGUCCCAAAGGCCGUCCGUAAGGUCAGGCCUAAGACAGAUGGCGGCCAGGGCCGCCUCCGCGGCCAUACAGAACCCGGCUCACGGUUCAUCGUUUUU